Oncorhynchus keta (chum salmon) is the source of this 3490-nucleotide long non-coding RNA. RefSeq lists it as uncharacterized. The transcript is spliced from 10 exons. The record is from RefSeq and is a predicted model, not a curated record. Lineage: Eukaryota; Metazoa; Chordata; Actinopteri; Salmoniformes; Salmonidae.
GAGUGAUAGAGAGAGAGAGGGAGGGAGUGAUAGAGGGAGUGAUAGAGAGAGAGAGGGAGGGAGUGAUAAAGGGAGCGAUAGAGAGAGGGAGGGAUAGAGGGAGUGAUAGAGAGGGAGGGAUAGAGGGAGGGAGAAAUAGGGAGAAAGAGGGAGGGAAGGAAGAGAAAUCUAGCAAGAAAGAGAUGUCCCUUUAAGCCACAUGAGCUUUUCAGAGCUGAAUGUAAUUGACCAACUUGACAUGAAUCAUGCUGCGAUGUGUGCUGAAAAUGAGUAUCCUUCAACCGCCACAGGCUGGCCGGCUGAAACUGCCGAUCCCCACCAGCAGUCUGUCCGCUGCCGUCGCAGACAGUUAUGAAUAUAUAGAGGGGAAGGGAGUGAUGAGGAAAAGAGAGAAAGAGCAUUUCUCCACAACUGUAGCUGCAGUGAGGCCACAGCCAAUCAGCUUGAGCCUUGCAGGCAGGCAAAGAAAGUGGCUUGCCAAUGAGGAUAGAGGUUGCAUAUCGACCCCACCCCACCCAUCCUUGUUCCUCCCUGCCUGCCUGCCUCUUUCCUCUGGCACAGCCUGUCAUGUCUGAGCCUCAUUUAUUUUUUAUUUAACUAGGCAAGUCAGUUAAGAACACAUUCUUAUUUACAAUGACGUCCUAGGAACAGUGGAUUAACUGCCUUGUUCAGGGGCAGAACGACAGAUUUUUAACUUGUCGGCUCUGGGAUUUGAUCUAGCAACCUUUCAUUUACUGGUCCAACGCUCUAACCACUAGGCUACCUGCCGCCCCAUGCCAGGAUUUAAAGAGGAGAAUAAAGAAUGUCUGACUCUAAAGUCCUCUCUUUCUCUCACUCUGAAGUGUGUGUGCACCUGUGUCCUGCUCAAACCGAGGGCAUCACUGCAGUGUCUGACUUCCAGAGAGGGAGAGAGGGAUAUGAGAGGAUGAUAGCAGAGCUUCUUACUGUAUUUCUCCCAGUGAGGUGUGGUAAGGCAGGGUUAAGUGUGAGCGAGGGAUGGGGGGCUUAAUAUAACAAGGACAAAAUCUGGUGAAAGUGAUUGUCUUUCGACACCAUGUAGAGUCCAUGCCCCAAUUAAUUGAGGCUAUUCUGAGGGCAAAAGUGUGGGGUGGGUGUACUAGGAAGCUUAAUGUUUUGUACCCUCAGUGUAUAUAGUCAUUAAUAGUGAAUGACUUGAUAAAUAAGGGGUACAUCCUAAUAAGUAACCCACACCAUAAGUCAAUGAGCGACAAUAUGCAAACAUUGGGAACUAUUAACCAGAACGUGUACCAUGGUUGACUGUAGACACGAGAGGUGAAACCAUAACAUGAAGGAGACAGGAAUAAAAGAGAGGUACAAAACAUAACAUGAAGGAGACAGGAAUAAAAGAGAGGUGAAAACAUAACAUGAAGGAGGCAGGAAUAAAAGAGAGGUGAAAACAUAAGAGGAAGGAGACAGGAAUAAAAGAGGUGAAAACAUAACAGGAAGGAGACAGGAAUAAAAGAGAGGUACAAAACAUAACAGGAAGGAGGCAGGAAUAAAAGAGAGGUGAAAACAUAACAGGAAGGAGACAGGAAUAAAAGAGAGGUACAAAACAUAACAUGAAGGAGGCAGGAAUAAAAGAGAGGUACAAAACAUAACAUGAAGGAGGCAGGAAUAAAAGAGAGGUGAAAACAUAACAGGAAGGAGACAGGAAUAAAAGAGAGGUACAAAACAUAACAUGAAGGAGGCAGGAAUAAAAGAGAGGUACAAAACAUAACAUGAAGGAGGCAGGAAUAAAAGAGAGGUGAAAACAUAACAGGAAGGAGACAGGAAUAAAAGAGAGGUGAAAACAUAACAGGAAGGAGACAGGAAUAAAAGAGAGGUGAAAACAUAACAGGAAGGAGACAGGAAUAAAAGAGAGGUGAAAACAUAACAGGAAGGAGACAGGAAUAAAAGAGAGGUGAAAACAUAACAUGAAGGAGGCAGGAAUAAAAGAGAGGUACAAAACAACAGGAAGGAGACAUGAAUAAAAGAGAGGUGAAAACAACAGGAAGGAGACAGGAAUAAAAGAGAGGUGAAAACAUAACAUGAAGGAGGCAGGAAUAAAAGAGAGGUGAAAACAUAACAGGAAGGAGACAGGAAUAAAAGAGAGGUGAAAACAUAACAGGAAGGAGACAGGAAUAAAAGAGAGGUGAAAACAUAACAGGAAGGAGACAGGAAUAAAAGAGAGGUGAAAACAUAACAGGAAGGAGACAGGAAUAAAAGAGAGGUGAAAACAUAACAGGAAGGAGACAGGAAUAAAAGAGAGGUGAAAACAUAACAGGAAGGAGACAGGAAUAAAAGAGAGGUGAAAACAUAACAGGAAGGAGACAGGAAUAAAAGAGAGGUGAAAACAUAACAGGAAGGAGACAGGAAUAAAAGAGAGGUGAAAACAUAACAGGAAGGAGACAGGAAUAAAAGAGAGGUGAAAACAUAACAGGAAGGAGACAGGAAUAAAAGAGAGGUGAAAACAUAACAGGAAGGAGACAGGAAUAAAAGAGAGGUGAAAACAUAACAGGAAGGAGACAGGAAUAAAAGAGAGGUGAAAACAUAACAGGAAGGAGACAGGAAUAAAAGAGAGGUGAAAACAUAACAGGAAGGAGGCAGGAAUAAAAGAGAGGUACAAAACAACAGGAAGGAGGCAGGAAUAAAAGAGAGGUGAAAACAACAGGAAGGAGGCAGGAAUAAAAGAGAGAUGAAAACAUAACAUGAAGGAGACUAAAAGAGAGGAGGAGAAGGGAUUGGGGCAGAUAUUAUCGGUCCUCAUGUCACAUAGCGACAGACACAGAUGGAAGGAGCAGUGGGAGGGUGUCUGUGUGUAUGAGAGGGUCUCUGUGUGUAUGAGUGUCUCUGUGUGUAUGAGAGUGUCUCUGUGUGUAUGAGAGUGCGCAGACAGAAAGCCCAUUAGGAGAGUCCUGUGGUGGAGGGAGGGGGAGAGAGAGAGAGAUGGAGAGAAGAGAGAGAAUGGGGAGAAGAGAGAGAAUGGGGAGAGAUGGUCAUUCGAGAGCUUCGAUCUGCAAAAAGAUGAUUCUGAGAUAAUUGGCUUUAAAGUUCAGAACCCUCAUUGGUUUGAAUGGUGUUUUUAUCUUGUAUUCUUUUGAACUUAUCAAUAUGAAUUGGGGUACUUCGAGUCCUGUAUAGGUAGAGAACAUUGAAUAGAACACGGCUAUGUCUUAUAGUCCCAAGCUCUCCAAUUGCAGUACUUUCCUGCAGACAAAUGAUCAAACUGCCCUCUCGUGGCCUCAUGGGUGGAAUGUUAUUGAUAGUUUUCGCAAUUUCAUAAUUAAUCAACAUUAUUUUUAAAGACCAGACAAAGAUCUGGAGUUUCUAUGUUCUAAAAUUGGGCUGCAAACUAAAAAUGGAAUAAUUGUCAACUCUAUAUCUGACAUGGUACAACAGUCUUCUUUUUUUUACACCCAUAACCAUGUUUAUGAGAUGGAUACUUUUGUUUCAAAGUAGAUUUGUUUAAUACUACAGAGCAGUGGUGAAA